GGGGAUGUGGCUCAGUGGCAAAGCUCUUGAUUUGCAUGCAUAAGGCCCUGGGUUCAAUCCUCAGCAGCACCA
RNAcentral lists this transfer RNA (72 nucleotides) under Cavia porcellus (domestic guinea pig). It matches the Rfam family "tRNA". Rfam says of the family: Transfer RNA (tRNA) molecules are approximately 80 nucleotides in length. Their secondary structure includes four short double-helical elements and three loops (D, anti-codon, and T loops). Lineage: Eukaryota; Metazoa; Chordata; Mammalia; Rodentia; Caviidae. The record is from Rfam by way of RNAcentral.